UAGGGAAUCUUCGGCAAUGGGGGCAACCCUGACCGAGCAACGCCGCGUGAGUGAAGAAGGUUUUCGGAUCGUAAAGCUCUGUUGUAAGUCAAGAACGGGUGUGAGAGUGGAAAGUUCACACUGUGACGGUAGCUUACCAGAAAGGGACGGCUAACUACGUGCCAGCAGCCGCGGUAAUACGUAGGUCCCGAGCGUUGUCCGGAUUUAUUGGGCGUAAAGCGAGCGCAGGCGGUUUGAUAAGUCUGAAGUUAAAGGCUGUGGCUCAACCAUAGUUCGCUUUGGAAACUGUCAAACUUGAGUGCAGAAGGGGAGAGUGGAAUUCCAUGUGUAGCGGUGAAAUGCGUAGAUAUAUGGAGGAACACCGGUGGCGAAAGCGGCUCUCUGGUCUGUAACUGACGCUGAGGCUCGAAAGCGUGGGGAGCGAACAGGAUUAGAUACCCUGGUAGUCCACGCCGUAAACGAUGAGUGCUAGGUGUUGGAUCCUUUUCCGGGAUUCAGUGCCGCAGCUAACGCAUUAAGCACUCCG
Molecule: ribosomal RNA, 526 nt
Filed under: uncultured bacterium
Lineage: Bacteria
Description: partial 16S ribosomal RNA
Rfam family: Bacterial small subunit ribosomal RNA
Source: RNAcentral